GAUCAUGGCUCAGGAUGAACGCUGGCGGCGUGCUUGACACAUGCAAGUCGAACGAAGCACUUUAUUUGAUUUCCUUCGGGACUGAUUAUUUUGUGACUGAGUGGCGGACGGGUGAGUAACGCGUGGGUAACCUGCCUUGUACAGGGGGAUAACAGUUGGAAACGGCUGCUAAUACCGCAUAAGCGCACAGCAUCGCAUGAUGCAGUGUGAAAAACUCCGGUGGUAUAAGACGGACCCG
This 238-nucleotide ribosomal RNA is filed under the name uncultured bacterium. RNAcentral's name for it is "partial 16S ribosomal RNA". It matches the Rfam family "Bacterial small subunit ribosomal RNA", at positions 15 to 233 of the family's 1533-position model. The record is from RNAcentral.